UACAGAGGUGGCAAGCGUUGUUCGGAAUUACUGGGCGUAAAGGGCGCGUAGGCGGCCCACUAAGUCAGACGUGAAAUCCCCCGGCUUAACCUGGGAACUGCGUCCGAUACUGGGAGGCUUGAAUCCGGGAGAGGGAUGUGGAAUUCCAGGUGUAGCGGUGAAAUGCGUAGAUAUCUGGAGGAACACCGGUGGCGAAGGCGGCAUCCUGGACCGGUAUUGACGCUGAGGCGCGAAAGCCAGGGGAGCAAACGGG
RNAcentral lists this ribosomal RNA (253 nucleotides) under uncultured bacterium. RNAcentral's name for it is "partial 16S ribosomal RNA". It matches the Rfam family "Bacterial small subunit ribosomal RNA", at positions 524 to 776 of the family's 1533-position model. The record is from RNAcentral.